GACGAACGCUGGCGGCGUGCUUAACACAUGCAAGUCGAGCGGUAAGGCCCUUUCGGGGGUACGACGAGCGGCGAACGGGUGAGUAACACGUGGGUGACCUGCCCUCAGCUCUGGGAUAAGCCUGGGAAACCGGGUCUAAUACCGGAUAUGACUCCAUGACGCAUGUUGUGGGGUGGAAAGCCUUGUGCGGCUGAGGAUGGGCCCGCGGCCUAUCAGCUUGUUGGUGGGGUGANGGCCUACCAAGGCGACGACGGGUAGCCGGCCUGAGAGGGCGACCGGCCACACUGGGACUGAGACACGGCCCAGACUCCUACGGGAGGCAGCAGUGGGGAAUCUUGGACAAUGGGCGCAAGCCUGAUCCAGCCAUGCCGCGUGAGUGAAGAAGG
This 386-nucleotide ribosomal RNA is filed under the name uncultured bacterium. RNAcentral describes it as "bacterial SSU rRNA". It matches the Rfam family "Bacterial small subunit ribosomal RNA", at positions 28 to 414 of the family's 1533-position model. The record is from RNAcentral.